UGCUGUUUCCCCUUCCUGAUAGAGUUGUUAGAACUGUGAGCUGUGAGCAGUCACCAUGGGAUUCUUGGGGAACGUUCAAAUUCAAAGACUAGAACGCAGCAUCCUAUCCAAGGUAAUGUAAAAGGAUAUUACCCAAGAAGGAAAAAGGAAAAUGGCUUGGAUUGCCUAUUAAAUUGUCAUAUUGGUAGAAAGAGAUGAUGUUCUGGGUUUUUGCUCCAGCAAUUUCCACCUAAACCAUUCACCGACUUUGCUCAUUUACUCUAGGGUUAGUAUCUUAAAUAGUUUGAUCUUUUUAAAGGUUGAUACUAGAGUGUUACACUCUAUCUUUUUCUUUCUAUAUUAUACUUUAAAAUUGACAUAUCAUUUAAUGAUUUUCAGUGAAAGAACAGUCUAUUUAAAUACCAUUUCAAUGUACACUAUAAUCACUGAGGUUCCUUCCUUUAUUUAAAAAUGACUUGGAUCUUACUGUUUAAGAGUUCUAACUUAGGUUGUGCUUUUUCUAAAACAGACUUUAAAAUAUGAGGAAUUUCCCAUAUUUAAAGCAUUAUAUCAAAGCAUGAAACCGUUUCUAAAGAAGCACCUGGAAUGUUUACUACUUUCUACUCUGUUACUGUUACUGUUAGUUAAGUUGUUGUUCCUUUAAGCUGGCUAUGUGAGCUUUACAAUGUACCCUGGAACUUAAUGAACUCCUAGAGGUUACAAGCAAGAAUUUAAUGUUUACUCAUAUUCACUUACACAGUGACAAAAUGGUCCAAUGAAAGACUUCUUGAAGAUUGUACAAAUGUGUUGUUUGUUUUGUUUUGUUUUAGUUUGGUUUGUGUUUUUGGUAAGAAAGGUCCUACCAGUUAGACACCUAAUUAAGCAAAAUGACUUACCUGGUAAAUACUCUUAAAGACAAGAUGCCCACUGGAACCAUUUGGGAUUUUGUUAAAAGUUUUAUUAAAAAUUGUUAUUAUAUAUUCCACACUAAGGUUUUGUGUUCUGUUAGAAAACUAAGAGUGCAUUUUAAAAUAAAAGCAGCAAAUAGAAAAAUGAUUUGGGCUUAUACGUUAUUUAAAAAUUAAGCAAAAGCCAGCGAAGCAGAAUGUAUGGUGUGACCUACUGAACAUAAUACAAAAUUUUUCCUACAACUCACAUUUUCACACAAUAAGAUAUUAUUUUAAAACAAAAGGUAGUAUAUUUACUGUAACAGAUUUGUUAGUUACUUGGCACCACUGUUUACCAGUGAAUACAAUGCGGUAAUAAUUUCUAUACUCUAAGUAGACAUUUUACAGAAAGGGAAAGACCUCGAGUUCCAUAGCACAAGGAAAUAAUGCAGGAUUAUAAAGAGAUGUUAGCAUUCCUAAAAAUCAUGUGGGUGUCCUGAGAGGACUGUUGUAUUCUCUAGGUAUCUUCUUCAUGGAGUGGAAAAAAACAGGCCUUUAGAAGUUGGGCAUAUCCAGGGAGCAAAACUGUUCAUCUUCUCUGGAGAAGAGUUGCUAAUCACUACUGGUGUUAUCUCUUUAGCAUUGUGGAAUCUGACUUUAUCCAUAUUCUAGGAAUCUUUGGUCAUUUUCCUUUGCUGCAUUUAAAUUUUGGUUAAACUUUACCUGCAAGGCACACAGUAAGAGGGAAGGAGCCUGGCACAGUUGAAAACGACAGAAAGCAUCUGGAAGUAAGUUCUGCCCGUGAAGAGGUAUUAUUGACCAAAACACUUGCUGGAAGGAAACAAAUUUAUGCUGAAUUACUGGGUUGUGCUCACCAGCAUUUACUUUUAGUUGAAAGAUUAGUUUUUCUGCUUGAAACGUGCUUUCCGUACAGAGCUAUCAUUUCAGCAUGAGCUGAAAGAAGAAGGUAGCUCAAGUGAAAAAUGUGAAGUAAUGCCGUGAUUCGACAGAUGGCAACAAGGCUGUGUGAACCAACAUCAGGGCGGCCUCUUCCUACAGGAAAAAAAAAAAACUAGUGAAAUCCUGCAUGGUGAUAACAUUAGUCAUUAGGAAAAAUGAUCUCUUCAAAACAGUACCCAAGCAGAAACAGUUACUCCACCACCUUUUUCCAAGGUUUAGGAUGCAAGGUUCCUACACAUGGAAAUGAGACAGGUAUGUUUUAUGCAGCCUGCAUCUCCAUUCAGUGGGUUCCACAUACUUACAGAGGGGUGGCUGUUUCAGUUUCCUUUGGGGUAAAUAUUUAAAACAGAACAAAACAACCUUCUCUGCUUGCUGUCUCUCCCUGUCUCCUGUCCUCUCCCACUGGGUGCUGCUUCGGUUCCCCUAGUAUGCACUGGGGGUGCCAGGCUCUCUCUGGUAUCCUCUGAGAGCAGGCGGCCAGCUGGCCUGCUGUGCCCCAGCUCUCAGAAGGGGCCUGCAGAGAAGUGCCCCUGCUGGCAGGAGCACAGGAGCUCUGCCUGCCUCUCAGCUGAGUCUUCUGACAGAUUGGCCAGAGGCUGCCUUUGGCACAGGAAGAGAGUAGAGUCAACAACGCAGGUUCGCAUUUGACUCCUUGCCCCAGCUAGGUGGAGAAAGACAGAUUUGUUUUUCCCUUAGUGACCCUGAAAUUUAGAAGCACCAUUACCUUGGAAUUGUAGGUCAAGAGACCUGCACUCUCUGAUCAACUACAUGCAUUCCCUUGAUUGUGCAGUUCCUGUGCACUCAACUCUGAGCGCCACCAGGCAGUCUGGGAACCGUGUCUUGCCCUCAAAGAACUCAGAAUAGAAAAAUCUGCUGCAGAAGUCAGGUAACACAAACUGGUGGGGGGGCAGGAAAGUCUGAGAAUCAAGCCAGUAAAGGAUGGCAAUGGUCUAACCUGGCAGCACACUCCCUGAAAAGACAGCUUGCUCCUUCCCAACCAGCCUGCCCUCAUGGUAGGCAUCCUGGGACAGGGCCUUCUGCUUCCAGUGUUCCUGGUUGUUCCAGCAGCAUCCCUGUUUCCUUUCCUGGCAAGCACUUGGCUCUGUUUCUCUCCAUGUUUCUGUCGCUGUCAGGCAGACCAUCUCCAGGUAAGAGAGCCUGGAAAAGCCUACCUGCUCCACUGUUCUCUAGCCAGCAACCUCAGCAUCAAGACAGCCAGGGUUUCCCAAAGGCCCAGCAAAAACCUCAGAUGUGGACAUGGGGUCUGUCAUUCCUCCUUCCUAAAAAAGCUGAAGAGAAAAUGCUCAUUGAUUGGGUAUGGAUCACUUACACAUCAAAACAAACACAGAGAUUUUUCCCUCCCACUACUAACAAAUUUUUGAGGGCUAAAUCAGGGGUGGGGCUUUUGCCCCAUACAUAUUUGUUUUCUGCUCUGGUCUUCUAUUUCAUUGUCUUUUAUAUUAACAUUCUCCAGGGAAACCUACACAGGGAAGACAGCAGAGACUGGGAAGAGGAUGGAAGAAGGGACUGAUCAUGUUGACAAAGCCAAGACUGGAUAAUCUGCGUUUACACGUGGCUGUUUAUCUGCACUUGCCCGGGGGAAACGCAGGGGCAAAGCAAGGUGUGGGCAAGUGUGUUGGACUUGGGAUGCGCUGGGCCCUCGAUCAUGCUUCUGUUUCUGGUGCGGACUGCAGAAACGCUAUGACAGAUCAGGCCUCCUUUGUUUAUAGAGCGUGAGAAGGCAAGAGGGUUAGAGCAAACCACUGCACUUCCACGCUUACACAGAGCAGGAGGCCCAAACGCUAGCAAGCCGUGUGCAUGCUGACAGAGAGCAAGCACAGAGGUUGCAGACCGAAAUAUCCGGAGCCCAUUCUUCUCCUUCAGGUCAGGGAUGUCCCAGGAUGGGUGUGGAUGGCAGCUCACUGCAAUCAGAAUGGAAUGAAAAGUCCGAGGAAACCAACAGGUGUGGAACCCGGUACUCUGGUCUCCUUUCCUGCUGCCAUGGAAGAAAACUGUUGAUUCAAGAAGGAAAACUUGAAGGUCUAGGCCUUCUCUGUCUAACACAGUGGCCACGAGCCCCAAGUGGCAAUUUAAAUGUAAGUUUCAAUCACUUAAAGUAAGACUAGACCGCAGUUCCUGGGAGGGGUAGCUGUGGAUCAGAUUCUGCAGAAGUGAGUGCCGUCCUCAUGGCAGACAGCACCAGCGCAGGCUACUCUCAGGUCUGGGCUGUUCGUGUGACUGAGGAACUUCCUUAAAAUUCACAUUUUUUGACUGACCUCAGAAACUCUCAUUCUGUAGAUGUCAGAGGAGUUACGCAAAUCGGAAUAUUUCAAAAGCUCUCCAGUAAUUCUGAUAGAGUGGUAGGUGAGAAUAUCUGCCUUAAUUGCUGCUACUCAAAGUCACAACCAGCAGAAUUACCUGCAAGCUCAUUUGAAAGGCAAAUUUAAGAAUUUGCAGUGGGACUUAGCAAUCUAUUAAUUUGCUUUCCAAGCAAUUCUUGUGCAUGCUACCUUGCAGAGCUAAAAUAGUAAGGAAAUGCAAGGAUCGCCAAAAACUAUUGAAAUUUAGAUAUAAAUAUUCAGUCUUAAGAAAACUAUACUGAAAUUUACUUAUAUAUAUAUAUAUAUAUAUAUAUAUAUAUAUAUACACGUGGCAUCUACUUGUGUAAAAUUUAUUUAUUCUUCUAUCCCUUCACCUCUCCUCCUUUGAAUCUGUUAACAAAUUUUAGGGUAUUUCUUAUGUACCAAGCAUUGUCAUAAGAUUUGGGAAUAUAAUACAUUUUAUGAAUAACUAAAAGAAGUUGAGGGCACCAAACACUAAGCAAUGAUAGGGAGAUGAAACAUUAAUUACCCAGAUUUUAUCUGUAUAUACUAUAUUCAUGUAAUGAAACUUUACACUGUAUCACAUGAAUAACUACAAUCAUUAUGCAUUCAUCAAACUUUUUUGAUGUUUAAGGAGACGAAAAUGUUAAUUACCAUGAUUUGAUCAUUACUCACUGUACACUUAUAUCAGAUUAUAACAUUGUACCCCAUAAAUUUGCACAAUUAAAUAUUAAAACAGACCUGGAAACAUAGCAAUGAAUAAAUUUGUUAUAAUUUCUGCUUUAUAAAGUGUGCCGUUUACUGGAUGCUAACUCAAUUUUUCUUAGUUUCCCCCCAGGUUUUAUAGGAUUGCAAUAAAGUUAGACAACUCAUUCAAGUACAGGUCAUUUCGUUACAUUAGAAAGCUCCCCAGAGCUUGCAUAGUGUGUAGCACUUGGCAGUUUGCUCUGGUUCAUGAGGAUAUCAGAGGGGGAUGCAAGGCUAGAAUUCAUUUCAGAGGCUUUAGCUACCUUCAGUAUUAAUUUGCAUAAUGCAAAUUUUGU
Molecule: long non-coding RNA, 5190 nt
Organism: Cavia porcellus (domestic guinea pig)
Lineage: Eukaryota; Metazoa; Chordata; Mammalia; Rodentia; Caviidae
Exons: 3
Source: RefSeq, a predicted model, not a curated record